GACGAACGCUGGCGGCGUUCUUAACACAUGCAAGUCGAACGGAAAGGCCCCUUUGGGGGUACUCGAGUGGCGAACGGGUGAGUAACACGUGAGUAACCUGCCCUUGACUUCGGGAUAACUUCAGGAAACUGGGGCUAAUACCGGAUAGGAAUCCUUGCUGCAUGGUGGGGGUUGGAAAGCUUCGGCGGUUUUGGAUGGACUCGCGGCUUAUCAGCUUGUUGGUGGGGUAGUGGCUUACCAAGGCUUUGACGGGUAGCCGGCCUGAGAGGGCGACCGGCCACAUUGGGACUGAGAUACGGCCCAGACUCCUACGGGAGGCAGCAGUGGGGAAUAUUGCACAAUGGGCGGAAGCCUGAUGCAGCAACGCCGCGUGCGGGAUGACGGCCUUCGGGUUGUAAACCGCUUUCAGCAGGGGCGAAGCUUGUGGUGACGGUACCUGCAGAAGAAGCACCGGCUAACUACGUG
RNAcentral lists this ribosomal RNA (465 nucleotides) under uncultured bacterium. Its description in RNAcentral is "partial 16S ribosomal RNA". It matches the Rfam family "Bacterial small subunit ribosomal RNA", at positions 28 to 507 of the family's 1533-position model. The record is from RNAcentral.